GAUGAAGAACGCAGCGAAAUGCGAUACGUAAUGUGAAUUGCAGAAUUCAGUGAAUCAUCGAGUCUUUGAACGCACAUUGCGCCCCCUGGUAUUCCGGGGGGCAUGCCUGUCCGAGCGUCAUUGCUGCCCUCAAGCACGGCUUGUGUGUUGGGCUCCGUCCCCCGAUCCCGGGGGACGGGCCCGAAAGGCAGCGGCGGCACCGCGUCCGGUCCUCGAGCGUAUGGGGCUUUGUCACCCGCUCUGUAGGCCCGGCCGGCGCUUGCCGAUCAACCAAAUUUUUAUCCAGGUUGACCUCGGAUCAGGUAGGGAUACCCGCUGAACUUAAGAAUAUCAAUAAGCGAGGA
This 344-nucleotide unclassified non-coding RNA is filed under the name soil metagenome. RNAcentral's name for it is "partial contains 5.8S ribosomal RNA, internal transcribed spacer 2, and large subunit ribosomal RNA". The stretch from base 1 to 120 matches the Rfam family "5.8S ribosomal RNA", at positions 35 to 154 of the family's 154-position model. The record is from RNAcentral.